This 519-nucleotide long non-coding RNA is filed under the name Elaeis guineensis (African oil palm). Its description in RNAcentral is "long non-coding RNA (EGUI_LNC027754)". Lineage: Eukaryota; Viridiplantae; Streptophyta; Magnoliopsida; Arecales; Arecaceae. The record is from RNAcentral.
AAUAUCAGCAGUUGAUUCUAGGUUGAUAAGAGUCAACCCCCAAAAUUGCCACUAGAUAAAAUAAAAGAUCAGUUUUCUGAAAUACUUCAAGAGUCAACCUUAAUUAGGCAUAAGUCAAGCUCAGAUGAUUAGGAGUCAACCUCAAAAGACCAAAAAUCAACCCCUAGAUAGCCAUAGGGUGAAUACAAAUGACUACAUUUUUUAAAUACUCCUGGAGUUGACCCUAAAAAUGGAGGAUUCAACCCUUGAGGCUUAAGAGUCGACUUCAAUGGACCAAGAGUGGACCCUUUUAUAUUGACAAACCAUAAUGGCUAGUUUUUCAAUAUGAGUAGAGUGCACUAAAUGACCUUGAAUGACUCUCUAAUGGAUAUAAAUGGUCAAAAGACAUUCUCCAGCUUUUCCUCUUGAUAUAAAAGACUCAAGAAUUAAUUAGAAACCAAGACAAGUGCUUAUCAUUGGAAAACAUUUAAUACAAGAGCAACCACCAUCUACUAGAGCAUUCACUUGAGAAUCCAAGCA